Drosophila sechellia is the source of this 843-nucleotide long non-coding RNA. RefSeq lists it as uncharacterized. Lineage: Eukaryota; Metazoa; Arthropoda; Insecta; Diptera; Drosophilidae. The record is from RefSeq and is a predicted model, not a curated record. The transcript is spliced from 3 exons.
GUAAAAAACUGCAAUAACUGCCAAGAGUUUGGCCUAUUUUUCGAACCGUCGUUUGUGCAAUGAAACCCAGCCGACUGCACCUAAAACAAGUCACCGAUACCCAGACACCUGCAUAUGAAAAACUUAAGUGCGGUUGAAAAAGUAUUUAAAAAAAAAUAAAAGACUUAGGCAACGAACUUGUUUGGCUCUGCACAAGUGUUAAUCAGCACAGCGAGCUGCAGCUAGUUGGGAGAUGGAUGGACUUGGAUGGCUAGGAAGCGGCGCGCGCAAGUGGCACAGCGGGUACAAGCUGGAGCCAAGGAGAAGUGCACUGAGAGAAAAAUCGACAAGUAAUCAGAUAGCAGCAGAAAAUUGAAAGAAAUAUAUUAAGUCGGGUAAGUGAAAAAAAUAAGCAGCAACGACUGCAGCAGCGGAAAACCGUUAAGAAAUCUCGUUUGUGUGGGGCCCAAGUCUGGAGUUGGGAAUUCUUCAUAUGGAGUAUAUAUAUAUAUUCUAUAUAUAUAUGCUGUCAUGGCAUUCUACGAACGAGAGAAAAUGGUGUUGUAGGCGGCAAUGCCAAGUGAAAGGCUUAUGGCCCUAACUCAGCCACCCUGCGGCUGACUCCCCCUUCAUAUUGAUUGAUUAGCCCGGCCAUAACUUCCGUCAUGUACACAUUUUCUGCACACUCUUCAGCUCACCGAAUUGUAUUUCUUUUCAGUCGGUUCUUUUUGUUGGUUGCGUUGGGUGCUAACUCGCUUAGCAGGUUGCUUAUUGGCUUUAGUGGAUUUUGUCAUUAGCCCAAGAAUUUUUAUAGCACAAAUAUGGCUAAGCCUACACUGAGGAAUAAAUACCAAUGUUGAUAAA